This 194-nucleotide ribosomal RNA is filed under the name uncultured bacterium. Its description in RNAcentral is "partial 16S ribosomal RNA". It matches the Rfam family "Bacterial small subunit ribosomal RNA", at positions 1307 to 1500 of the family's 1533-position model. The record is from RNAcentral.
GCAACUCGCCUACACGAAGUUGGAAUUGCUAGUAAUCGUGGAUCAGCAUGCCACGGUGAAUACGUUCCCGGGUCUUGUACACACCGCCCGUCACACCAUGGGAGCUGGUAACACCCGAAGUCAGUAGUCUAACCGCAAGGAGGACGCUGCCGAAGGUGGGAUUAGCGGCUGGGGUGAAGUCGUAACAAGGUAUC